Molecule: long non-coding RNA, 246 nt
Filed under: Elaeis guineensis (African oil palm)
Lineage: Eukaryota; Viridiplantae; Streptophyta; Magnoliopsida; Arecales; Arecaceae
Description: long non-coding RNA (EGUI_LNC069770)
Source: RNAcentral
GAGUACGUCUUUUGAGAGGUGCAUGAAGGGAUAUACAAAAGUCAUCUGGGUGGUAAAUCACUAUACUUCUGUUAAGGAGAAUGCCUUAAGAUUUAGUCCAUAAUAAGCCAAGAAUGAGGUCUAGAAUGAUGAAUGAAAUCUAAUAAGCCCAAGAAUAGCCCAAAUGGAGUUCAGACAGAGGAGAUACACAUGAAAAAGUAGAUCGAAAGCAGUUAGUACAACCCAUGGGCUACCAAAGGGACCCAC